UGGGGAAUUUUGGACAAUGGGCGCAAGCCUGAUCCAGCAAUGCCGCGUGCAGGCUGAAGGCCUUCGGGUUGUAAACUGCUUUUGUACGGAGCGAAAAGGUCUGCCCUAAUACGGUGGGCUCAUGACGGUACCGUAAGAAUAAGCACCGGCUAACUACGUGCCAGCAGCCGCGGUAAUACGUAGGGUGCGAGCGUUAAUCGGAAUUACUGGCCGUAAAGCGUGCGCAGGCGGUUAUAUAAGACAGAUGUGAAAUCCCCGGGCUCAACCUGGGACCUGCAUUUGUUACUGGGUAACUUGAGUACAGGAGAGGGGGAUGGAAUUUCGCGUGUAGCGGUGAAAUGCGUAGAGAUCGGAAGGAACACCAAUGGCGAAGGCGGUCCCCUGGGCCAAAACUGACGCUCAGGUACGAAAGCGUGGGGAGCAAACA
Molecule: ribosomal RNA, 427 nt
Filed under: uncultured bacterium
Lineage: Bacteria
Description: bacterial SSU rRNA
Rfam family: Bacterial small subunit ribosomal RNA
Source: RNAcentral